RNAcentral lists this ribosomal RNA (253 nucleotides) under uncultured bacterium. RNAcentral's name for it is "partial 16S ribosomal RNA". It matches the Rfam family "Bacterial small subunit ribosomal RNA", at positions 524 to 776 of the family's 1533-position model. The record is from RNAcentral.
UACGGAGGGAGCUAGCGUUGUUCGGAAUUACUGGGCGUAAAGCGCGCGUAGGCGGCUGUUCAAGUCAGAGGUGAAAGCCCGGGGCUCAACCCCGGAACUGCCUUUGAAACUAGACAGCUGGAAUCUUGGAGAGGCGAGUGGAAUUCCGAGUGUAGAGGUGAAAUUCGUAGAUAUUCGGAAGAACACCAGUGGCGAAGGCGACUCGCUGGACAAGUAUUGACGCUGAGGUGCGAAAGCGUGGGGAGCAAACAGG